Molecule: long non-coding RNA, 223 nt
Filed under: Brassica napus (rape)
Lineage: Eukaryota; Viridiplantae; Streptophyta; Magnoliopsida; Brassicales; Brassicaceae
Description: long non-coding RNA (BNAP_LNC011145)
Source: RNAcentral
CUUAGAAAUGUUAACGUACAUAACAACCGUACUAGGAAUCAAGUUUAGUUUUGUCCCAAAGGUGCAGCCACGAAACAAAGUUUACAUGAUAGAGAGAAGCAUUAUGUCGGGAAAAAUAAAAGAAACAUCAUUGGUUAAUACAUAAAUACUAAUGUAAGAUGAAAGCAAAUGACAUAAAAUAGUUCAUUGCAUGAGUAGGUCCGAAUUGACGAUGGAAAAAACU